UAGUUCAGUGGUAGAACAUCACCUUGCCAUGGUGGGGGUCGCGGGUUCGAAUCCCG
Molecule: transfer RNA, 56 nt
Filed under: Lactiplantibacillus plantarum
Lineage: Bacteria; Bacillati; Bacillota; Bacilli; Lactobacillales; Lactobacillaceae
Description: Lactobacillus plantarum tRNA-Gly
Rfam family: tRNA
About the family: Transfer RNA (tRNA) molecules are approximately 80 nucleotides in length.
Source: RNAcentral